This 502-nucleotide ribosomal RNA is filed under the name uncultured bacterium. Its description in RNAcentral is "bacterial SSU rRNA". It matches the Rfam family "Bacterial small subunit ribosomal RNA", at positions 501 to 1002 of the family's 1533-position model. The record is from RNAcentral.
CUACGUGCCAGCAGCCGCGGUAAUACGGAAGGUCCAGGCGUUAUCCGGAUUUAUUGGGUUUAAAGGGAGCGUAGGCCGUGGAUUAAGCGUGUUGUGAAAUGUAGACGCUCAACGUCUGAAUUGCAGCGCGAACUGGUUCACUUGAGUAUGCACAACGUAGGCGGAAUUCGUCGUGUAGCGGUGAAAUGCUUAGAUAUGACGAAGAACUCCGAUUGCGAAGGCAGCUUACGGGAGCACAACUGACGCUGAAGCUCGAAGGUGCGGGUAUCAAACAGGAUUAGAUACCCUGGUAGUCCGCACAGUAAACGAUGGAUGCCCGUUGUUAGUUCACUUAAGAAUUAGCGACCAAGCGAAAGCAUUAAGCAUCCCACCUGGGGAGUACGCCGGCAACGGUGAAACUCAAAGGAAUUGACGGGGGCCCGCACAAGCGGAGGAACAUGUGGUUUAAUUCGAUGAUACGCGAGGAACCUUACCCGGGCUUGAAUUGCAGAGGAAUUAUUUA